Molecule: ribosomal RNA, 468 nt
Filed under: uncultured bacterium
Lineage: Bacteria
Description: partial 16S ribosomal RNA
Rfam family: Bacterial small subunit ribosomal RNA
Source: RNAcentral
GACGAACGCUGGCGGCGUGCUUAACACAUGCAAGUCGAACGGAAAGGCCCUGCUUUUGUGGGGUGCUCGAGUGGCGAACGGGUGAGUAACACGUGAGUAACCUGCCCUUGACUUUGGGAUAACUUCAGGAAACUGGGGCUAAUACCGGAUAGGAGCUCCUGCUGCAUGGUGGGGGUUGGAAAGUUUCGGCGGUUGGGGAUGGACUCGCGGCUUAUCAGCUUGUUGGUGGGGUAGUGGCUUACCAAGGCUUUGACGGGUAGCCGGCCUGAGAGGGUGACCGGACACAUUGGGACUGAGAUACGGCCGAGACUCCUCCGGGAGGCAGCAGUGGGGAAUAUUGCACAAUGGGCGGAAGCCUGAUGCAGCAACGCCGCGUGCGGGAUGACGGCCUUCGGGUUGUAAACCGCUUUCGCCUGUGACGAAGCGUGAGUGACGGUAAUGGGUAAAGAAGCACCGGCUAACUACGUG